GUCGAACGGAGUUUUAACGGAAGUUUCGGAUGGAAGUUAAGAACUUAGUGGCGGACGGGUGAGUAACGCGUGGGUAACCUGCCUCAUACAGGGGGAUAACAGUUAGAAUGACUGCUAACACCGCAUAAUAUAGCGAAACCGCAUGAUUUUGCUAUCAAAUAUUUAUAGGUAUGAGAUGGGCCCGCGUCUGAUUAGCUAGUUGGUGGGGUAAAGCCUACCAAGGCGACGAUCAGUAGCCGGCUUGAGAGAGUGACCGGCCACAUUGGGACUGAGACACGGCCCAAACUCCUACGGGAGGCAGCAGUGGGGAAUAUUGGACAAUGGGGGAAACCCUGAUCCAGCGACGCCCGCGUGAGUGAAGAAGUAUUUCGGUAUGUAAAGCUCUAUCAGCAGGGAAGAUAAUGACAGUACCUGACUAAGAAGCCCCGGCUAACUACGUGCCAGCAGCAGC
This 451-nucleotide ribosomal RNA is filed under the name uncultured bacterium. RNAcentral describes it as "bacterial SSU rRNA". It matches the Rfam family "Bacterial small subunit ribosomal RNA", at positions 61 to 518 of the family's 1533-position model. The record is from RNAcentral.